GCUCCAGACUCCUACGGGAGGCAGCAGUGGGGGAUAUUGCACAAUGGGGGAAACCCUGAUGCAGCGACGCCGCGUGGGUGAAGAAGCGCCUCGGCGCGUAAAGCCCUGUCAGCAGGGAAGAAAAUGACGGUACCUGAAGAAGAAGCCCCGACUAACUACGUGCCAGCAGCCGCGGUAAUACGUAGGGGGCAAGCGUUAUCCGGAUUUACUGGGUGUAAAGGGAGCGUAGACGGCAAUACAAGUCGGAAGUGAAAUACCCGGGCUCAACCUGGGAACUGCUUUGGAAACUGUAUGGCUGGAGUGCUGGAGAGGUAAGCGGAAUUCCUAGUGUAGCGGUGAAAUGCGUAGAUAUUAGGAGGAACACCGGUGGCGAAGGCGGCCUGCUGGACUGCGACUGACGUUGAGGCCCGAAAGCGUGGGGAGCAAACAGGAUUAGAUACCCCCGUA
RNAcentral lists this ribosomal RNA (447 nucleotides) under uncultured bacterium. Its description in RNAcentral is "partial 16S ribosomal RNA". It matches the Rfam family "Bacterial small subunit ribosomal RNA", at positions 328 to 792 of the family's 1533-position model. The record is from RNAcentral.